AGGGAACCAUCUCAACAGUCUUCGUGCAACACUGGGUGCACUUUGUCAGCAUCGCGAUAACCCAGAAGAGAACACGUGUAGAUGGCCUCUAUGAAGCUCUUUUGCUUGUUAGCAGCUGGUCAAAGUUAGCAGAAAUGGAAGGAAGUGAACUCAACCAACAAAAGAGAACUGAGCAAUUCAUCCCGGGUGUGAUGUUGUCUUCUCCCAAGGACCUUCUCCAACCACACUACUCGAAGUGUGUCCAGAAUUGGUGGGCUCUUGGUCUCGCUGACUUCAAGAAUGAAGCCGUGGACCCUCGCGAUUAAACAAGUGCAACUUUCCCAAUCUCACACAACUACUUGUGGAGCCAGGAUUCCAUACAGGCAAUGUGAGUGCACAUCCAAAACUUGAAACCACUGAACAAUAAUGCUUUCUGAAAGAUAAGGAAUUUAUUCAUGAUCAUUGGUGCUAUCUGGCUUGCUCGUCCUCCUCAACUUCCAGUACUGUUGAAUCGUUGUGUAUAAUUUGACCAACAUUAAAUCUUUCAUUUUUGACACGGAGUCUCGCUCUGUCGCCCAGGCUGGAGUGCAGUGGCAUGAUCUCAGCUCACUGCAAGCUCCGCCUCCCAGGUUCAUGCCAUUCUCCUGCCUCAGUCUCCCAGGUAGCUGGGACUACAGGCACCCCCCAACCAUGCCCGGCUAAUUUUUUGUAUUUUUAGUGGAGACGGGGUUUCACCGUGUUAGCCAGGAUGGUCUUGAUCUCCUGACCUUGUGAUCCGCCCGCCUUGGCCUCCCAAAGUGCUGGGAUUACAGGCACAACAUUAAAUCUUUUUAAAUGAUACGUGUCUCUUUGGUUAGUUUUCACACAGUUAUAGGUCAUAAACCAUUUUUACCUUACCUUUCUCACUUAACAUGUACUAUAAGCAUUUUCUAUAAUAUUUUACUUCUAUCUCUUUAGCAACUGAGCCCUAAAGCCCGUCCAUGUGUCUAGACUGGUCUGUUGCUCCUUCACUUUUUAAAAGAUAGAAAAAUAUAGUUACUACUAGUUGAAACUGCAUCCUGAAUUUGACUUUCCAAAAGUUGACGCAUUCCAUCAUGAAGUGGCCUGGUCUUUCCCCAGCAGCAGCAAUCCAACAAACUAGCAGCUGACUAUGCCCAAGUAGAAAACCCCAUACUCUAGAAGGGGCUACAUCACAUCCCCCUGGCAAGUUGCUCUCUUCACCCAGUGAAUUUAC
This 1213-nucleotide long non-coding RNA is filed under the name Homo sapiens (human). Its description in RNAcentral is "HSALNT0213632". Lineage: Eukaryota; Metazoa; Chordata; Mammalia; Primates; Hominidae. The record is from RNAcentral.